RNAcentral lists this ribosomal RNA (253 nucleotides) under uncultured bacterium. RNAcentral's name for it is "partial 16S ribosomal RNA". It matches the Rfam family "Bacterial small subunit ribosomal RNA", at positions 524 to 776 of the family's 1533-position model. The record is from RNAcentral.
UACGUAGGCAGCGAGCGUUGUUCGGAAUUACUGGGCGUAAAGAGUGUGUAGGCGGUGCUCUAAGUUCGGUGUGAAAUCUCCCGGCUUAACUGGGAGGGUGCGCCGGAAACUGGAGGGCUCGAGCGUGGGAGAGGAAAGCGGAAUUCCUGGUGUAGCGGUGAAAUGCGUAGAUAUCAGGAGGAACACCUGCGGUGUAGACGGCUUUCUGGACCAUUGCUGACGCUGAGACACGAAAGCGUGGGUAGCAAACAGG